UACGUAGGGCGCGAGCGUUGUCCGGAAUUAUUGGGCGUAAAGAGCUCGUAGGCGGCCUGUUGCGUCCGCUGUGAAAUCCCAGGGCUUAACCCUGGGCGUGCAGUGGAUACGGGCAGGCUGGAGGCAGGCAGGGGAGAACGGAAUUCCCGGUGUAGCGGUGAAAUGCGCAGAUAUCGGGAAGAACACCAAUGGCGAAGGCAGCUCUCUGGGACGGUACUGACACUGAGACGCGAAAGCGUGGGGAGCGAACAGG
This 253-nucleotide ribosomal RNA is filed under the name uncultured bacterium. Its description in RNAcentral is "partial 16S ribosomal RNA". It matches the Rfam family "Bacterial small subunit ribosomal RNA", at positions 524 to 776 of the family's 1533-position model. The record is from RNAcentral.